RNAcentral lists this ribosomal RNA (1565 nucleotides) under Mangrovibacterium diazotrophicum. RNAcentral's name for it is "bacterial SSU rRNA". It matches the Rfam family "Bacterial small subunit ribosomal RNA". The record is from RNAcentral. Lineage: Bacteria; Pseudomonadati; Bacteroidota; Bacteroidia; Marinilabiliales; Prolixibacteraceae.
GUAAGAUUCCUGAAUAAGAGCUAGACAAGAUUAUAACAAUUUUAUUUACAACGAAGAGUUUGAUCCUGGCUCAGGAUGAACGCUAGCGGGAGGCCUAACACAUGCAAGUCGAGCGGGAUUCACUUUCGGGUGAUGAGAGCGGCGCACGGGUGCGUAACGCGUAUGCAACCUGCCUCUAACAGGGGGAUAGCCCGUUGAAAGACGGAUUAAUACCCCAUAGUAUAAUUGGAUGGCAUCAUUUAAUUAUUAAAGCUCCGGCGGUUAGAGAUGGGCAUGCGUGACAUUAGUUAGUUGGUGAGGUAACGGCUCACCAAGACUACGAUGUCUAGGGGUUCUGAGAGGAUGAUCCCCCACACUGGUACUGAGACACGGACCAGACUCCUACGGGAGGCAGCAGUGAGGAAUAUUGGUCAAUGGGCGCAAGCCUGAACCAGCCAUCCCGCGUGAAGGAAGAAUGUCCUAUGGAUUGUAAACUUCUUUUGUAUACCAAGAAUGGUUCCUACGUGUAGGGAUUUGACGGUAGUAUACGAAUAAGCAUCGGCUAACUCCGUGCCAGCAGCCGCGGUAAUACGGAGGAUGCAAGCGUUAUCCGGAUUCAUUGGGUUUAAAGGGUACGUAGGCGGCCUGUUAAGUCAGUGGUGAAAGUUUGCGGCUUAACCGUAAAAUUGCCAUUGAUACUGAUGGGCUUGAGUACAGUUGAGGUAGGCGGAAUGUGUAGUGUAGCGGUGAAAUGCUUAGAUAUUACACAGAACUCCGAUUGCGAAGGCAGCUUACUAAACUGUCACUGACGCUGAGGUACGAAAGCGUGGGGAGCGAACAGGAUUAGAUACCCUGGUAGUCCACGCCGUAAACGAUGCUCACUCGCUGUUUGCGAUAUAUUGCAAGCGGCCAAGCGAAAGCAUUAAGUGAGCCACCUGGGGAGUACGCCGGCAACGGUGAAACUCAAAGGAAUUGACGGGGGCCCGCACAAGCGGAGGAACAUGUGGUUUAAUUCGAUGAUACGCGAGGAACCUUACCUGGGCUUAAAUGGGGAGUGACAGCUGCCGAAAGGUGGUUUUCUUCGGACACUCUUCAAGGUGCUGCAUGGUUGUCGUCAGCUCGUGCCGUGAGGUGUCGGGUUAAGUCCCAUAACGAGCGCAACCCUUACCGUUAGUUACCAUCAGGUUAUGCUGGGGACUCUAGCGGGACUGCCACCGUAAGGUGAGAGGAAGGUGGGGAUGACGUCAAAUCAGCACGGCCCUUAUGUCCAGGGCUACACACGUGUUACAAUGGCCAGUACAAAGGGCAGCUACUUGGUGACAAGAUGCUAAUCUCUAAAGCUGGUCUCAGUUCGGAUCGAAGUCUGCAACCCGACUUCGUGAAGCUGGAUUCGCUAGUAAUCGCGCAUCAGCCAUGGCGCGGUGAAUACGUUCCCGGGCCUUGUACACACCGCCCGUCAAACCAUGGAAGUGGGGGGUACCUGAAGUCUGUAACCGCAAGGAGCGGCCUAGGGUAAAACUCGUAACUGGGGUUAAGUCGUAACAAGGUAGCCGUACCGGAAGGUGUGGCUGGAACACCUCCUUUCU